UAGGGAAUCUUCCGCAAUGGACGCAAGUCUGACGGAGCAACGCCGCGUGAGUGAAGAAGGAUUUCGGUUCGUAAAACUCUGUUGUUAGAGAAGAACAGCGCAUAGAGUAACUGUUAUGCGUGUGACGGUAUCUAACCAGAAAGCCACGGCUAACUACGUGCCAGCAGCCGCGGUAAUACGUAGGUGGCAAGCGUUGUCCGGAUUUAUUGGGCGUAAAGCGAGCGCAGGCGGUCAAUUAAGUCUGAUGUGAAAGCCCCCGGCUCAACCGGGGAGGGUCAGUGGAAACUGGUUGACUUGAGUGCAGAAGAGAAGAGUGGAAUUCCAUGUGUAGCGGUGAAAUGCGUAGAUAUAUGGAGGAACACCAGUGGCGAAGGCGACUCUCUGGUCUGUAACUGACGCUGAGGCUCGAAAGCGUGGGUAGCAAACAGG
Molecule: ribosomal RNA, 429 nt
Filed under: Bacteroidota bacterium
Lineage: Bacteria; Pseudomonadati; Bacteroidota
Description: Bacteroidetes bacterium partial 16S ribosomal RNA
Rfam family: Bacterial small subunit ribosomal RNA
Source: RNAcentral